CAGUAGCCGCGGUAAUACGGGGGGGGCAAGUGUUAUUCGGAAUGACUGGGCGUAAAGGGCACGUAGGCGGUGAAAAGGGUGGAAAGUGAAAGUCGCCAAAACACUGGCGGGGUGCUUUCUUGACCAUUUCACUUGAGUGAGAUAGGGGAGAGUGGAAUUUCGUGUGGAGGGAUCAAAUCCUAAGAUAUACGAAGGAACGCCAACCGCGAAGGCAGCUCUCUGGGUCCCCACUGACGCUGGGGUGCGAAAGCAUGGGGAGCAAACAGGAUCAGAUACCCCAGUAGUCCCUGUCUCUUAUACA
Molecule: ribosomal RNA, 301 nt
Filed under: uncultured bacterium
Lineage: Bacteria
Description: partial 16S ribosomal RNA
Rfam family: Bacterial small subunit ribosomal RNA
Source: RNAcentral